This 88-nucleotide transfer RNA is filed under the name Bacteroidota bacterium. Its description in RNAcentral is "Bacteroidetes bacterium tRNA-Ser". It matches the Rfam family "tRNA". Rfam says of the family: Transfer RNA (tRNA) molecules are approximately 80 nucleotides in length. Their secondary structure includes four short double-helical elements and three loops (D, anti-codon, and T loops). Lineage: Bacteria; Pseudomonadati; Bacteroidota. The record is from RNAcentral.
GGAGAGGUGGGUGAGUGGCUGAAACCACCAGUUUGCUAAACUGGCGUACCUAUUGCUGGUACCGGGGGUUCGAAUCCCCCUCUCUCCG